RNAcentral lists this ribosomal RNA (472 nucleotides) under uncultured bacterium. Its description in RNAcentral is "bacterial SSU rRNA". It matches the Rfam family "Bacterial small subunit ribosomal RNA", at positions 335 to 796 of the family's 1533-position model. The record is from RNAcentral.
ACUCCUACGGGAGGCAGCAGUGGGGAAUUUUGGACAAUGGGCGCAAGCCUGAUCCAGCAAUGCCGCGUGCAGGAAGAAGGCCUUCGGGUUGUAAACUGCUUUUGUACGGAACGAAACGGCUCUGGUUAAUACCCCGGGGCUAAUGACGGUACCGUAAGAAUAAGCACCGGCUAACUACGUGCCAGCAGCCGCGGUAAUACGUAGGGUGCAAGCGUUAAUCGGAAUUACUGGGCGUAAAGCGUGCGCAGGCGGUUGUGUAAGACAGGCGUGAAAAUCCCCGGGCUCAACCUGGGAAUGGGCGCUUGUGACUGCACGGCUGGAGUGCGGCAGAGGGGGAUGGAAUUCCGCGUGUAGCAGUGAAAUGCGUAGAUAUGCGGAGGAACACCGAUGGCGAAGGCAAUCCCCUGGCCUGCACUGACGCUCAUGCACGAAAAGCGUGGGGAGCAAACAGGAUUAGAUACCCUGGUAGGUG